Molecule: ribosomal RNA, 462 nt
Filed under: Triticum aestivum (bread wheat)
Lineage: Eukaryota; Viridiplantae; Streptophyta; Magnoliopsida; Poales; Poaceae
Description: partial small subunit ribosomal RNA
Source: RNAcentral
AUGUUUCUCGUUUAUGGAGGUGACAAAGAGCUCGUCGUAAAUGGUUACGUCGAUGCAAGCUUUGACACUGAUCUGGACAAUUAUAAAUCGCAAACCGGAUACGUGUUUAUAUUGAACGGUGGAGCUGUUAGUUGGAGCAGUUCUAAACAAAGCAUCAUGGCGGGAUCUAUGUGUGAAGCAGAGUACAUAGCUGCUUCAGAAGCAGCAAAUGAAGGAGUCUGGAUGAAGGUGUUCAUAUCCGAUCUAGGUGUCAUACCUAGUGCAUCGGGUCCAAUGAAAAUCUUUUGUGACAAUACUGGUGCAAUUGCCUUGGGAAAGGAAUCCAUAUUUCACAAGAGAACCAAGCACAUCAAGAGACGCUUCAAUUCCAUCCGGGAUCAAGUCCAGGUGGGAGACAUGGAGAUUUUCAAGAUACAUACGGAUCUGAAUGUUGCAGACCCGUUGACUAAGCCUCUUCCAUGA